GGGGAUGUAGCUCAGUGGUAGAGUACUUGCCUGGCAUACAUGAGUUCCUGGGUUUGAUCCUCAGCAUCACCA
RNAcentral lists this transfer RNA (72 nucleotides) under Ictidomys tridecemlineatus (thirteen-lined ground squirrel). RNAcentral's name for it is "Spermophilus tridecemlineatus (thirteen-lined ground squirrel) tRNA". It matches the Rfam family "tRNA". From Rfam's summary of the family: Transfer RNA (tRNA) molecules are approximately 80 nucleotides in length. Their secondary structure includes four short double-helical elements and three loops (D, anti-codon, and T loops). Further hydrogen bonds mediate the characteristic L-shaped molecular structure. tRNAs have two regions of fundamental functional importance: the anti-codon, which is responsible for specific mRNA codon recognition, and the 3' end, to which the tRNAs corresponding amino acid is attached (by aminoacyl-tRNA synthetases). tRNAs cope with the degeneracy of the genetic code in two manners: having more than one tRNA (with a specific anti-codon) for a particular amino acid; and 'wobble' base-pairing, i.e. permitting non-standard base-pairing at the 3rd anti-codon position. Lineage: Eukaryota; Metazoa; Chordata; Mammalia; Rodentia; Sciuridae. The record is from Rfam by way of RNAcentral.